Molecule: transfer RNA, 72 nt
Organism: Allomyces macrogynus ATCC 38327
Lineage: Eukaryota; Fungi; Blastocladiomycota; Blastocladiomycetes; Blastocladiales; Blastocladiaceae
Rfam family: tRNA
About the family: Transfer RNA (tRNA) molecules are approximately 80 nucleotides in length. Their secondary structure includes four short double-helical elements and three loops (D, anti-codon, and T loops).
Source: Rfam
GGGGUGUUGGCGCAACGGCAGCGCGUCCGACUCCAGAUCGGAAGGCUGGGAGUUCGAAUCUCUCACACCUCA